AGAUUGAACGCUGGCGGCAGGCCUAACACAUGCAAGUCGAGCGGUAGAGAGGUGCUUGCACCUCUUGAGAGCGGCGGACGGGUGAGUAAUGCCUAGGAAUCUGCCUAGUGGUGGGGGAUAACGUUCGGAAACGGACGCUAAUACCGCAUACGUCCUACGGGAGAAAGCGGGGGACCUUCGGGCCUCGCGCCAUUAGAUGAGCCUAGGUCGGAUUAGCUAGUUGGUGAGGUAAUGGCUCACCAAGGCGACGAUCCGUAACUGGUCUGAGAGGAUGAUCAGUCACACUGGAACUGAGACACGGUCCAGACUCCUACGGAGGCAGCAGUGGGAAUAUUGGACAAUGGGCGAAAGCCUGAUCCAGCCAUGCCGCGUGUGUGAAGGAAGGUCUUCGGAUUGUAAAGCACUUUAAGUUGGAGGAAGGUUGUAACUUAAUACGUUGCAACUUGACGUUACCGACAGAAUAAGCACCG
RNAcentral lists this ribosomal RNA (470 nucleotides) under uncultured soil bacterium. Its description in RNAcentral is "bacterial SSU rRNA". It matches the Rfam family "Bacterial small subunit ribosomal RNA", at positions 26 to 495 of the family's 1533-position model. The record is from RNAcentral.